Molecule: long non-coding RNA, 211 nt
Filed under: Homo sapiens (human)
Lineage: Eukaryota; Metazoa; Chordata; Mammalia; Primates; Hominidae
Description: HSALNT0089914
Source: RNAcentral
UAAACAUCCAGGUCAAGUGACAGAGCUCAGCUAAAAUCCAGAAGUCCCCUGACACCAGAGUUAGUUUUCCAUGAAAGAAAUGCCUAUAAGAAACUGGACCAGGAUAAAGCAAAGAGUAAGGGGCAGGAAGAAAGCUUAUAAUUGCAUUACUGCAAUCUUCUGCAAAAUCAGACUUCUGCUUCUGUUCCACCUCUUUAAAGCUGAAAAUGCC